Molecule: ribosomal RNA, 301 nt
Filed under: uncultured bacterium
Lineage: Bacteria
Description: partial 16S ribosomal RNA
Rfam family: Bacterial small subunit ribosomal RNA
Source: RNAcentral
CAGUAGCCGCGGUAAUACGAGGGGAGCUAGCGUUGUUCGGAAUUACUGGGCGUAAAGCGCGCGUAGGCGGCUUUUUAAGUCAGAGGUGAAAGCCCGGGGCUCAACCCCGGAAUUGCCUUUGAAACUGGAAAGCUAGAAUCUUGGAGAGGUCAGUGGAAUUCCGAGUGUAGAGGUGAAAUUCGUAGAUAUUCGGAAGAACACCAGUGGCGAAGGCGGCUUACUGGCUCAUACUGGACGCUGAGGUGCGAAAGCGUGGGGAGCAAACAGGAUUAGAUACCCCAGUAGUCCCUGUCUCUUAUAC